UAUUUGUUUCCAUCUAUCAUCAUGUUUGUUCUAUUGUUUUUCUUGUAAUAGAAAAAUACUGUAUCUCUAUCAAGUAUUUGAUGUUUACCUAAAAUAAAAAUAGAUGGCUAGAGCUGCCUGUUUCUUAUACCUGGCCCACUAAGGCAUUUCAGCUACCUGCCAGAAGGCAUAGAAUUUGAACAGACACUCAGAUGUUUGCUUCCUAAAUCUGUUUCCAGCUCAUUCGCAGACUCCCAUUUCACAUACCUUACUUCAGCAAGCCUCCACAGCAACUACUGAAGUGAACAUUAUUAUUCUCAUUGGGAUCCAAGAGGUCAUGGAAGACCCAGCAUGUGGGGGAAACUUCUUUAUUCUGCUAUCCAAAUAUAAAAUCUAUACAGAAGUAGCUCCUUUGUCCCUUAACCUUAGUAAGCAAAUUUGAUUAAGCAUUUGAAAGCUAUAGAGGUGCAAGGUGGGAGAAAUUCUGCCUCUGCUACUUGGCAGCUCUAUGAUAUUGGGCAAACCACUCAUACCACAUUUAUUUUCCUUAUAUCCAAAAUGGACAUAAUAAUACCUUCUUACUUAUCUCACUGGGUUAUUGGAAUGAUCAUAGUGUUUGGGUGGUUGGUUGUUUCUAGGAGGUAAUAAUGUAUGUGAAAAUAAUUGGUAUAUGGAAAAGGAUUAAAUACUAGUGCUGAAACAUUAUACAUAUUAACAUGCCUUUAAAUCUGUCUCCCUACCAUUCCAUCAUUUAUUUUCGGAGUCAGUUUUACUGAGAUACAAUUAAUGUAUUAAUGUAAGUGUACAGCUCAAUGAGUUUUGACAAAUGUAUACAGAUAUAUAACUACUACCACAAUCAUAAUAUAGAAUAUAUCAGUGGCCCCCCAAAUUUCCUCAUGCCCCUUUGCAUUUUUAUACUUUAAAAGUCAAUAUAUACCCGAGUGAUUAAAAUAUACCUUCCCAAAAACUUGUGCAUAAAUAUUCUUAGUAGCAUUAUGUAUGAUAGCCCCCAAGUGGAAACAACCCAAAUAGCCAUCAACUGAUAAAUGGAUAAAUAAAAUGUAUAUCCAUGCAGUGGAAUAUAAUUCGGCCAUGAAAGGAAUGAAGUACCAAUGUCUGCUACAACAUGGAUGAACCUUGAAAACAUUAUGUUAAGUAAAAGAAGCCAGUCACAAAAGACCACACAUUGUAUGACUCCGUUUUUAAUGAAAGGUCUAGAAGAGGCAAAUCUAUAGAGACAGAAAGUAGUGUUUGCCUCAUAUUGGGGGCUAGGGAAUAAUGAUGAAUGACUGCUAAUGGAUGUGGAAUUUCUUUUGGGGGUAAUGAAAAUGUUCUAAAAUUGAUUGUGGUGAUGGUUGCAAAACUCUGAAUAUAAUAAAACCAUUGAAUUAAUGCCA
Cercocebus atys (sooty mangabey) is the source of this 1376-nucleotide long non-coding RNA. RefSeq lists it as uncharacterized. The record is from RefSeq and is a predicted model, not a curated record. Lineage: Eukaryota; Metazoa; Chordata; Mammalia; Primates; Cercopithecidae. The transcript is spliced from 2 exons.